This 664-nucleotide long non-coding RNA is filed under the name Hordeum vulgare. RNAcentral describes it as "long non-coding RNA (HVUL_LNC003971)". Lineage: Eukaryota; Viridiplantae; Streptophyta; Magnoliopsida; Poales; Poaceae. The record is from RNAcentral.
CGUGAAGCAGACGAACCGACGUGGCCGAACGGAUCCUCACGUUCUGACACGCCUGCGGAACUCUAUCGAGACGAAGCAAACCGAAACUACAGUCAACACACAAUAUUCACCACGACACAUACACGACAUGAUGCAUACCCUAAUAUGAUGCAUGCUCAGUUCAAUUAUGCAAGGCAUGGCAUGGCAAUUCACACAAUCAAACACUAUACAUUAAGUGAAGCUCAAUAUGCAACGAAUUGCAUAUUGACGAAACUCCACAUACGAAUUAUAUAGUUCACUCCCAUUUAGGUACACGACAAUAUUAAAUGUUGUUAAACAUGGCAAGGGGUGAAGCACAAAUAAACUACCUAUCUAAGCGUUUUAAAUGAGGUUGGAAACGACAUAUAGCAUCUCCGAACUGACCCCAUGUGUUACUUUCGAAACCUGCCCAGAUUUGUCCUAAACACCUUUUAAGUUUGUUAAACGGCAAAUUAAAGUGGAGCACAUCAAACUACACGUCAUUCUAGUCAGUUUACCUAUAUAGCUCAUAUCCAACGGAGUUACGGUCGAAGAGAUACGAGCAACACAAGAUCAUGUGACAUGGAUGCAACAUGCAUGCAAAAUAAAAAAAAGAUACACAAGGUGAAAAUAAAAGAGAGGCCAAGGGAAUUUGAUCCCUAGACCU